Boleophthalmus pectinirostris (great blue-spotted mudskipper) is the source of this 1422-nucleotide long non-coding RNA. RefSeq lists it as uncharacterized. The record is from RefSeq and is a predicted model, not a curated record. The transcript has 6 exons. NCBI's taxonomy places the organism in Eukaryota, Metazoa, Chordata, Actinopteri, Gobiiformes, Gobiidae.
CUUUGGUGUUCAUACAGGAAGCAUCAGCUGCCUGUGCUGUUUGAACACUGAACAUGUGGUUUCUCAAGUUUGUCACAUUAAGUUGUAUCCUUUAUGCACUAACAAGAAAUUCAGAUGCUGUUUCUUGCGGAAAAGGCCAAAUGCUAUAUGGCGGAACAUGUGUUCCUUGCCCAAAUGGUUUCUACCAACCUGAGAAAACCACGUCCCAGUCUUGUGAAGCGUGUCGAAAAUGUCAUGAAAGCAAGGGGAGUUCUAUUUUGAGAAACUGCACAUCAGAAGAAAACACCAUAUGCAAAUGUAAAAGCAAUUUUGUUGCCCAAGAAGAUGACUCAUCCACUUGUAAAUGUCGCCCUGAGUUUACUCAACAAAGUAAUGAGUGUGUGAAAAAGAAAAAAAAAAAACCAAAUAUCAACUACAGCAACUAUACAUGACCUGACCACUGUGGCCUCCCUAUGGACACAAGGGGGGGCUACAACUCAAGAACCUACUAUAACCAAUAUCACUACCACCACUGAUCAUAAGGGGCUUCCAGUCACAACUAAAGAAAGGACGAGUGAUUCACAAUUCUCCAGGAUUGGUGUGGGCCUUGUGUUUGUGAUUGUUGCAAUACUGAUACUGACAGCUUUAAUCAGCAAACACAUUAUAUUAUCACGCCUAAAGAGGAGACCAGAGCAACCAAGAGAUAACUCGUUUCGAAUCCCAGUGGAGGAAAGUGGAGACGGCAGCCAUGACUCUCUGAAACAAAACCAAGAGGAACCGUGAAAGGAACAGAACAAAAACUCUUUAAGUCUUGAACAGUGUCAGACAAACACACUUUUAGUUAGCCUUAAUAAAGCAUGAACAAAGACUUAAUCCAUACUGAAUAAAUAGUUUUUAAAGAAUGAUCCAGGCUUAGUAACUAAUACCUCAACCAUAACUCCUGACCUCUUAAUUAAGCUUAAAUCAUUGUUAAUAAACUACAUUCUUUAAAUCUUUGUUCAUGAGUUUUUAAGGUUAAUUAAGGUGUAGUUAUUAUGGAGCGGUAUCAAGAGUUAUAUUGACCUUUGUUUGAUUGGACAUCUUGAGUGAAUCCUUCUGUGUUUUGAUAGAGAGCCAGCAUUGUAACCUACCAACAAAAUUUUAUGAACUGUGAAAUUUUUAUGCUGUUUUAUUUUUGGGAAAAUUGUAUGUUUUAUUUUAUAUUUUAUGUCAUAUUUACUUAUCUUUAAGAAAUGUUAUGCAUUUGUGAUGGCAUGUUUCUGUCUUGCUGCUUUUUCUAAAUUUUGAUACCAGGGCAAGUGACAUUUUACUGAGAAUUAAACCUUUACUUAUAUUAUGCUGAUAUUGAUGUUCUUGCCUUGGGGGUGGCCUGACUGUGAACAAAACUUCUAUAUUUGAUUGUUGUUCAGGGACUUCCCUUUUAAACAAAUAUUCCUUCACUCA